GAGAGCGCCGAGGGGAACGUGUUGGAACAUCGUUCGGAAAACGUGGGGAACAUUUGUCAGAGAAUUUGUGGCUUUGGAGCUGGUGUGAAGCUAUGAGCGCAUGCUCCAAAUAAACCCCUGCCGGGUCCUGGAAUCCAUAUGGACAUGAGCUCACACCUGAUGAAUUCAAGAGGACAAACUGAGCCAACUGAGCUCUCUGUUCAGCAGCACUGGUGAUAAUCAGCAGCGUAGAACAUAUCUCAGGACCACACUGCCUCAGGAAAGCGGGAUUGUUAAAAUAUGUUCUACUUCCUGUUAUGGACAACAGCUUUCGUAAGCAUCAGUCAUAAACCUGAUCACUGAUACUGAUCACUUUGUCUUUCCAGGUUCUACCAAGAUCACAGGCUGGGAGUAACUUCAGAACAUGCAGCUGGAACUAAGGGAUCUCAGGACCUUCAGUCUGAUGGUGGUAAACUGGGCAGACUGCAGUUCAACCAGCAGCCACCAGGCCUCGUCACGGAUCUUGUCUGGAUGGUGAUGGGUGCAACAGUUGGACUCCUGGGGCUGAACUUCGGCAGCCUGAGUCGCCUCUUUCCCCCUGUUUCCUUUCCUCUGGCGC
Poeciliopsis prolifica (blackstripe livebearer) is the source of this 598-nucleotide long non-coding RNA. RefSeq lists it as uncharacterized. The record is from RefSeq and is a predicted model, not a curated record. The transcript has 3 exons. NCBI's taxonomy places the organism in Eukaryota, Metazoa, Chordata, Actinopteri, Cyprinodontiformes, Poeciliidae.